This 253-nucleotide ribosomal RNA is filed under the name uncultured bacterium. Its description in RNAcentral is "partial 16S ribosomal RNA". It matches the Rfam family "Bacterial small subunit ribosomal RNA", at positions 524 to 776 of the family's 1533-position model. The record is from RNAcentral.
UACGGAGGGGGCUAGCGUUGUUCGGAAUUACUGGGCGUAAAGCGCACGUAGGCGGCUUUUUAAGUCAGAGGUGAAAGCCCGGGGCUCAACUCCGGAAUUGCCUUUGAGACUGGAAGGCUUGAUCGUCGGAGAGGUGAGUGGAAUUCCGAGUGUAGAGGUGAAAUUCGUAGAUAUUCGGAAGAACACCAGUGGCGAAGGCGGCUCACUGGACGACUGAUGACGCUGAGGUGCGAAAGCGUGGGGAGCAAACAGG